RNAcentral lists this ribosomal RNA (1614 nucleotides) under Enterobacter cloacae complex sp. 4DZ1-17B1. RNAcentral's name for it is "partial 23S ribosomal RNA". It matches the Rfam family "Bacterial large subunit ribosomal RNA", at positions 99 to 1756 of the family's 2925-position model. The record is from RNAcentral. Lineage: Bacteria; Pseudomonadati; Pseudomonadota; Gammaproteobacteria; Enterobacterales; Enterobacteriaceae.
UUGACCCGGCGAUGUCCGAAUGGGGAAACCCAGUGUGUUCCGACACACUAUCGUUAACUGAAUACAUAGGUUAACGAGGCGAACCGGGGGAACUGAAACAUCUAAGUACCCCGAGGAAAAGAAAUCAACCGAGAUUCCCCCAGUAGCGGCGAGCGAACGGGGAGCAGCCCGGAGUCUGAAUCAGCUUGUGUGUUAGUGGAACGGUCUGGAAAGUCCGACGGUACAGGGUGAUAGUCCCGUACACGAAAACACACUUGCUGUGAACUCGAAGAGUAGGGCGGGACACGUGGUAUCCUGUCUGAAUAUGGGGGGACCAUCCUCCAAGGCUAAAUACUCCUGACUGACCGAUAGUGAACCAGUACCGUGAGGGAAAGGCGAAAAGAACCCCGGCGAGGGGAGUGAAAAAGAACCUGAAACCGUGUACGUACAAGCAGUGGGAGCACCUUCGGGUGUGACUGCGUACCUUUUGUAUAAUGGGUCAGCGACUUAUAUUCUGUAGCAAGGUUAACCGUAUAGGGGAGCCGAAGGGAAACCGAGUCUUAACUGGGCGUUAAGUUGCAGGGUAUAGACCCGAAACCCGGUGAUCUAGCCAUGGGCAGGUUGAAGGUUGGGUAACACUAACUGGAGGACCGAACCGACUAAUGUUGAAAAAUUAGCGGAUGACCUGUGGCUGGGGGUGAAAGGCCAAUCAAACCGGGAGAUAGCUGGUUCUCCCCGAAAGCUAUUUAGGUAGCGCCUCGUGAACUCAUCUUCGGGGGUAGAGCACUGUUUCGGCUAGGGGGCCAUCCCGGCUUACCAACCCGAUGCAAACUACGAAUACCGAAGAAUGUUAUCACGGGAGACACACGGCGGGUGCUAACGUCCGUCGUGAAGAGGGAAACAACCCAGACCGCCAGCUAAGGUCCCAAAGUCAUGGUUAAGUGGGAAACGAUGUGGGAAGGCACAGACAGCCAGGAUGUUGGCUUAGAAGCAGCCAUCAUUUAAAGAAAGCGUAAUAGCUCACUGGUCGAGUCGGCCUGCGCGGAAGAUGUAACGGGGCUAAACCAUGCACCGAAGCUGCGGCAGCGACGCUUAUGCGUUGUUGGGUAGGGGAGCGUUCUGUAAGCCGUUGAAGGUGUGCUGUGAGGCAUGCUGGAGGUAUCAGAAGUGCGAAUGCUGACAUAAGUAACGAUAAAGCGGGUGAAAAGCCCGCUCGCCGGAAGACCAAGGGUUCCUGUCCAACGUUAAUCGGGGCAGGGUGAGUCGACCCCUAAGGCGAGGCCGAAAGGCGUAGUCGAUGGGAAACAGGUUAAUAUUCCUGUACUUGGUGUUACUGCGAAGGGGGGACGGAGAAGGCUAUGUCAGCCGGGCGACGGUUGUCCCGGUUUAAGCAUGUAGGCGGAGGUUCCAGGUAAAUCCGGUACCUUUUAACGCUGAGGUGUGAUGACGAGGCACUACGGUGCUGAAGUGAUAAAUGCCCUGCUUCCAGGAAAAGCCUCUAAGCAUCAGGUAACACGAAAUCGUACCCCAAACCGACACAGGUGGUCAGGUAGAGAAUACCAAGGCGCUUGAGAGAACUCGGGUGAAGGAACUAGGCAAAAUGGUGCCGUAACUUCGGGAGAAGGCACGCUGAUA